AAACGUUUGACACCAGUUAUGCGGGUGGAAAAUCAGUCUUUUGCAAUGGGGAGUUGUGGGCGUUCAGACCGCAAGGCUGGCGUUUGCUUCAUCUUUGUUGUAAGUGAUGCACUUUUUCAUUUGCAGGUCAACAUCAGUUUGCUUUGCUGGACAAAACCCCAAGGGAAGGUGGCAGCUUAGGCUGUGUUAUAGCCUCUGGUUGUAUACAUUGGUUGGGACUGAGG
RNAcentral lists this ribosomal RNA (224 nucleotides) under Mortierella sp. RNAcentral's name for it is "partial large subunit ribosomal RNA". Lineage: Eukaryota; Fungi; Mortierellomycota; Mortierellomycetes; Mortierellales; Mortierellaceae. The record is from RNAcentral.